This 815-nucleotide ribosomal RNA is filed under the name Phytophthora melonis. Its description in RNAcentral is "eukaryotic LSU rRNA". The stretch from base 269 to 423 matches the Rfam family "5.8S ribosomal RNA". Lineage: Eukaryota; Oomycota; Peronosporomycetes; Peronosporales; Peronosporaceae. The record is from RNAcentral.
CUUUCCGUAGAGGUGACGUGCGGAAGGAUCAUUACCACACCUAAAAAACUUUCCACGUGAACCGUAUCAACAAGUAGUUGGGGGCCUGCUCUGUGUGGCUAGCUGUCGAUGUCAAAGUCGGCGACUGGCUGCUAUGUGGCGGGCUCUAUCAUGGCGAUUGGUUUGGGUCCUCCUCGUGGGGAACUGGAUCAUGAGCCCACCUUUUAAACCCAUUCUUGAUUACUGAAUAUACUGUGGGGACGAAAGUCUCUGCUUUUAACUAGAUAGCAACUUUCAGCAGUGGAUGUCUAGGCUCGCACAUCGAUGAAGAACGCUGCGAACUGCGAUACGUAAUGCGAAUUGCAGGAUUCAGUGAGUCAUCGAAAUUUUGAACGCAUAUUGCACUUCCGGGUUAGUCCUGGGAGUAUGCCUGUAUCAGUGUCCGUACAUCAAACUUGGCUCUCUUCCUUCCGUGUAGUCGGUGGAUGGAGACGCCAGACGUGAGGUGUCUUGCGGCGCGGCCUUCGGGCUGCCUGCGAGUCCCUUGAAAUGUACUGAACUGUACUUCUCUUUGCUCGAAAAGCGUGACGUUGUUGGUUGUGGAGGCUGCCUGUAUGGCCAGUCGGCGACCAGUUUGUCUGCUGCGGCGUUUAAUGGAGGAGUGUUCGAUUCGCGGUAUGGUUGGCUUCGGCUGAACAAUGCGCUUAUUGGAUGCUUUUCCUGCUGUGGUGGUAUGGGCUGGGUCGAUCCAUUUGGGAACUCUGUGUUGUCUCUGCGGCUUGCUGUGGAGGUAGCAUCUCAAUUGGACCUGAUAUCAGUCAAGAUGCCCAGUUCAC